Molecule: long non-coding RNA, 2293 nt
Filed under: Gossypium barbadense (sea-island cotton)
Lineage: Eukaryota; Viridiplantae; Streptophyta; Magnoliopsida; Malvales; Malvaceae
Description: long non-coding RNA (GBAR_LNC017432)
Source: RNAcentral
AUCUUUAUUUUUCUUCUUCUUCAACCGUAAUAGAAAAAAGAAAUGGCAGCCAUGGAAUGGGUUUCAUUCGGCCAAGCUUUGGAGCUUGAUAGGUGAGUGGUUUUUGCCCCGUUUUUAAGGAUUUCUAUGUUUUCGGAGUCGUGGUAACUCGAUUUAGCUAUUUCGUACCUUUAUUUUCAAAAAUGUUAAAGUUUGUGAAUUUUUCCAUUGUUGAUAAAGUGUGAAUUUUGAUAAUUGAUGAUAGAAAAUACAUCCUUGUUGUUAGAUAAACAACAUUUGUAAAGUGAUUUUUGAUAGAAAUGUCGAUUAGGGACUAAAUUAAGAAAUGUGAUAAAUUGUGUGGUGAAAGUGUGAAUAUGUGAAAAAUGUGGGCUGCUAUAAGAGGGAAUAUGAAUCGGCUAGGCUUAGGAUUUGAGAAAAAUAAGUGCUUUUCAUUUUACAAGCCUAGAGGCAAAAUUAUAAAUAUGUGAAACUUUAGGGGCAAAAAUGUAAUUUUUCCAUAGUGUGAUUUUUGGACUAGAUUGAAUAAUGUGAGUAUUAAAUGAGUUAAAUGUGUUAUUAUAGAUCAAGAAAGAUGAGGAGUUGACAUUGAUCGGGGAAAAGAAAAGGUUGUGGACUAAAUUGUAAAUUCGUCAUAUCUUGCACCAAAGUAAGUUUGUAUGUAAAUAAUGCAUCGUUUUUACUUAUGUUAUCAUAUUUUAUUAUGUCUUAUGAAAUGUGGCUGAAUAUUGAAUGAAAUUGACAGGUAUCGAAAAGUGAGAAAUUUCCCGGUUGAACAUUAGGAAUAGAAUAGGAUACAAGUGACAUGUCACUAGUGACUCUAGUGUGGUACUAUGUGAAGGCCACUUUGAGAAGAGCUAGCUUGAUCACAAGUGUGGUACUAUGUGAAAGCCACUUUGUGAAGAAAGAUAGCUUUGGUCACAAGUGUGGUACUAUGUGAAGGUCACUUUGUGAAGAAGGUAGCUUUGGCUACAAGGGUUGUACUAUGUGCAGGUCAUCGGGUAUCCAUUAUUAUUCUGAUGUGUUCAAUGGGAAAUGACUAAGUGUAAACGAAUAUGACCAUGUGAUGAAUAAAUGCAGGUAUGUGUGUGUAAACUUAUGAGCAAUAUACUCGAUAUAUGAUCGAACUUUGGUAAGAUUGAUACGGAGUAAGUGUUACAAUGAAAGUUACUAUAAAGAAAACAUAAAAGAGUGAAAUUUAGAAAUAAAAGAGUUUUGGACAGCAGUGGUUGUGUGACUUUAAAAAAUCACCAAAAAUGGUGGAAACCGAAUUAAAAGUUGAAUAGAUAUGAAAUUAAAGCUUAUUGAGUCUAUUUUUCACAUAAAAGAAGCGGUGUCAGUAAAAGAAUUUCAUAUUAUAAGAUAUUUGAAUUUUUGUUCAGAAUGAUUCAAACUCCUGUUCUUAAUUUGGAAAAUUAUUAAAAAUUGUAAAAAAAUUAUUUGUUAGAAUUUAUAUGUUUAAAAUCCUGAAUAAGUCUAUUUCAAUAGAAACAAACGGAAAUGUCAUCCAAAUUCUGUACGAGAAGAUAAUUAAUUUUUAAUGUAGAAAGGUCGAAACUAUCAGAUAGCAGAAUAGGGGAAAUUUUAAAGAAUAAACUGUACUUAUUGGCUAAACCAAAAAUUCUGAAAAUUUUAUGGUAAGAAGAUAUGUGAGUCUAGUUUCAGGGAAAAUUUGCGGAACUUAAUUUGGAGUUCUGUAACUCAAGAUAUAAAUAGUUUAGUGACUAUGACUUGAGUAGACAGCUAUGUGUAAAUGUUGGAACUAUGUGUAAUUAUGAUUGUAUUAUUUUGAGAACAUAUUGUGAAGAUUGAUAAAAGCAUAUUAAUAAAUUGUAUAUUAUUUACAUAUCCACUUACUAAGCCAUAUGCUUACCCCCUUUCUUUCCCCUUGUCUUAUAGUGUCACUAAGCUAGCUCGGGAUAUGGAGAUUGUCGGAGAUCCAUCCUCACUAUCAACACUCUUUUGGUAUUUUGAAAUCAAUAUUUUGAAUUAUGGCAUGUAUAGAAGGCUUGGUUAUUCUGUUAUGUGUCAUAAUUGAUUUGGCCUAAAAUGUUGGUCUACGUUAUUUGAUAAUUUAUUUUGUAUAAAGCCAUUGAUGUUGGCUAAUAUUGAUCAAAUUAUAUGUUCAUGAUGAUGCAUUUCGUGGAUGUGCAAGCUUGCAUGACUUGACCGAAAAGUUUUAAUUUUUUUUAAAAAAAAGUCUUGGUUUUGUACGAUUACAUGUGUUUAUGUUUUGGUAAUGCCUCGUACCAUGUUCCGGUGUCGAACACAGGUAAUGGGUGUUACAUGUCAC